GUAACGGCGAGUGAAGCGGUAACAGCUCAAAUUUGAAAUCUGGGUCUUUCAGGCUCCGAGUUGUAAUUUGUAGAAGAUGCUUUGGGUGCGGUCCCGGUCUAAGUUCCUUGGAACAGGACGUCAUAGAGGGUGAGAAUCCCGUAUGUGAUCGGUGGCUUGCGCCCGUGUAAAGCUCUUUCGACGAGUCGGGUUGUUUGGGAAUGCAGCUCUAAAUGGGUGGUAAAUUUCAUCUAAAGCUAAAUAUUGGCCAGAGACCGAUAGCGCACAAGUAGAGUGAUCGAAAGAUGAAAAGCACUUUGGAAAGAGAGUUAAACAGUACGUGAAAUUGUUGAAAGGGAAGCGCUUGCAACCAGACUUGCGCGGGGUUGAUCAUCCGGGGUUCUCCCCGGUGCACUCGGCCUCGCUCAGGCCAGCAUCGGUUUCGGUGGUUGGAUAAAGGCCUUGGGAAUGUGACUUCUUUCGGGGAGUGUUAUAGCCCUCGGUGCAAUGCAGCCUACCGGGACCGAGGACCGCGCUUCGGCUAGGAUGCUGGCGUAAUGGUUGUAAGCGACCCGUCUUGAAACACGGACCAAGGAGUCUAACAUCUAUGCGAGUGUUUGGGCGUCAAACCCAUACGCGUAAUGAAAGUGAACGGAGGUGAGAACCCUUAAGGGUGCAUCAUCGACCGAUCCUGAUGUCUUCGGAUGGAUUUGAGUAAGAGCAUAGCUGUUGGGACCCGAAAGAUGGUGAACUAUGCCUGAAUAGGGUGAAGCCAGAGGAAACUCUGGUGGAGGCUCGCAGCGGUUCUGACGUGCAAAUCGAUCGUCAAAUU
RNAcentral lists this ribosomal RNA (811 nucleotides) under Pezicula eucrita. RNAcentral describes it as "eukaryotic LSU rRNA". It matches the Rfam family "Eukaryotic large subunit ribosomal RNA", at positions 83 to 911 of the family's 3401-position model. The record is from RNAcentral. Lineage: Eukaryota; Fungi; Ascomycota; Leotiomycetes; Helotiales; Dermateaceae.